GACGAACGCUGGCGGCGUGCUUAACACAUGCAAGUCGAACGGAAAGGCCCUGCUUUUGUGGGGUGCUCGAGUGGCGAACGGGUGAGUAACACGUGAGUAACCUUCCCUUGACUUUGGGAUAACUUCAGGAAACUGGGGCUAAUACCGGAUAGGAGCUCCUGCUGCAUGGUGGGGGUUGGAAAGUUUCGGCGGUUGGGGAUGGACUCGCGGCUUAUCAGCUUGUUGGUGGGGUAGUGGCUUACCAAGGCUUUGACGGGUAGCCGGCCUGAGAGGGUGACCGGCCACAUUGGGACUGAGAUACGGCCCAGACUCCUACGGGAGGCAGCAGUGGGGAAUAUUGCACAAUGGGCGGAAGCCUGAUGCAGCAACGCCGCGUGCGGGAUGACGGCCUUCGGGUGGUAAACCGCUUUCGCCUGUGACGAAGCGUGAGUGACGGUAAUGGGUAAAGAAGCACCGGCUAACUACGU
Molecule: ribosomal RNA, 467 nt
Filed under: uncultured bacterium
Lineage: Bacteria
Description: partial 16S ribosomal RNA
Rfam family: Bacterial small subunit ribosomal RNA
Source: RNAcentral